UUUGAAGAAAUUGUUGCUACCUCAGUUAAAUCACUGAUCCUACUUUAUCUCACCCUAGAAUAACUUCUGGGCUCUGAGGCUGCUACUGGAGCACCUGUCCUACGAAAAGCACGUUCUCCAUGGCACUGUCUCCCUGAUUCUGAGAGACCUCAGUCAUCAGAAAGCAACAGUCCUAAAACUGUGAGUAAACACUCGCUGCUGAGCUCUGUUUGUUUAUGGAAAUAGCAGCAGAGAUAAUCCUCAGCUCUUGGAAAGCAGCCAGUGCUCUGGAGAAGGCAAGGAUGCCAAUGCCAGGAGCAGCCCAGGUGAGUUGUCUCAGCAGCCCCUCUGUUUGCAGGUGGCAGAACCUCGGUGCCCAGUACGUGGGCGAGUUCCUGUGCCUGUUCCUGACCUGCAGGCACCAGGAGAUGCAGAACAUUGGCCUCUUCACCCUGAACAUCAUCACAGAGAACCUGCACAUGUGUCCGUGGGCAAAGCAUCUCAGCACCUUUUUCCACAAUUCAGGAUUGAGGCACCUCCCCCUUGGCACAGCAGCUCACCACGAAGUCUCAAAGUUCAUACAAAUUUUUGAACAACUGUGAUUCGACUUCAGAUCUUCGGGAACGUUUUCCAGUUUUUCUGAGCAAUGUCUUCCUGGAGCCCCUUGGUUUUCCUUUGGUUUUUCAUCUCCAGAAACAUUCAGCUAAAAACCAACUUCAGGCCAGGACCCUGAGCUGGGAGAGGGACAGAGCUGUGGUUUGGGAAUUUCCUUUCUUGCAGUUCCACGUGUUGGAAGGGGUUUAAGUUGUUUUUAAAGAGCUGAUCCCCAGAGAUUCUGGGAGAGGGGCACGGAUGGAGUUGGAGCAGAGCGAGUUUUCACUCCUGUGGGGACAGGACAAGACAGAACUGCUGAGAGGGGAAAAGCUCAAACCAGGGAAAUUCCUGUUUUCCAUGAAACCACGAGCCACUGGAGGCUGAAAGAGGGACUGAAACUUCAGUGAUCCCGGUCUGGCAGCAAAGGAAGACAAAUGUUCCCAUGUGCCAAACUGCACUUUGCACAUUUAGGGGUUUGGGAGGGGUUUGUGGCUUUUUGUUAUCCCAAAGAAGCUGCAGUUACUUGAGUUUUCUGAGGAGUGUAUUGAAAUCAACAGCACAUCAAUUAAAUAUUGUCACUUGUAUUGUUUUGUUUGAGAAGUGUUUUUUGUUUGUUUGGGAGUGUUUUUUGUUUUUGUUUGGGAGUGUUUUUUGUUUUUGUUUGGGAGUU
This 1243-nucleotide long non-coding RNA is filed under the name Manacus vitellinus (golden-collared manakin). RNAcentral's name for it is "lncRNA (ENSMVIG00005013563.1)". Lineage: Eukaryota; Metazoa; Chordata; Aves; Passeriformes; Pipridae. The record is from RNAcentral.